This 374-nucleotide ribosomal RNA is filed under the name uncultured bacterium. Its description in RNAcentral is "bacterial SSU rRNA". It matches the Rfam family "Bacterial small subunit ribosomal RNA", at positions 524 to 898 of the family's 1533-position model. The record is from RNAcentral.
UACGUAGGGUGCAAGCGUUAAUCGGAAUUACUGGGCGUAAAGCGUGCGCAGGCGGUCGUGCAAGACAGGUGUGAAAUCCCCGGGCUUAACCUGGGAACUGCACUUGUGACUGCUCGACUAGAGUACGGCAGAGGGGGAUGGAAUUCCGCGUGUAGCAGUGAAAUGCGUAGAUAUGCGGAGGAACACCGAUGGCGAAGGCAGUCCCCUGGGCCUGUACUGACGCUCAUGCACGAAAGCGUGGGGAGCAAACAGGAUUAGAUACCCUGGUAGUCCACGCCCUAAACUAUGUCAACUGGUUGUUGGGAGGGUUUCUUCUCAGUAACGUAGCUAACGCGUGAAGUUGACCGCCUGGGGAGUACGGCCGCAAGGUUGAA